UGUGUACAUUAUUAGAUAUUCAUGUACAUGUACAUGUAGGUUGGGAGUCUCAGUUACUUGAAAUGGGUUUCCUUGCAAUGUUCUUAUCUCCAGUUUUGAGUUAUAGCCAGUUUCCACGUCACACGCCCACAAGCUGGACCAAUGUCUGGGGAAAUCGCUGGAUGAUAUUCCGCAUUAUGAUUGGAGCUGGUUUGAUAAAGAUGAGAGGUGAUAGCUGUUGGAGGGACUUGACUUGUAUGAACUAUCAUUAUGAGGUUUGUACAUUGUAUAUUGUAUAGUGUAUGAUGCUUUAAUGUGGUGGAGUUUCAGUUUGACAUUUUGUGAUCUGAGAUUGAUUUAUAAUCAGCAUAA
RNAcentral lists this long non-coding RNA (351 nucleotides) under Amphimedon queenslandica. RNAcentral's name for it is "uncharacterized LOC109588705". The record is from RNAcentral. Lineage: Eukaryota; Metazoa; Porifera; Demospongiae; Haplosclerida; Niphatidae.